Long non-coding RNA from Felis catus (domestic cat), 750 nucleotides. RefSeq lists it as uncharacterized. The transcript has 3 exons. The record is from RefSeq and is a predicted model, not a curated record. Lineage: Eukaryota; Metazoa; Chordata; Mammalia; Carnivora; Felidae.
UGGCAUAUUCACACAGAAUUUCUCUACAGCGAUGAGAACUGACAGACGUGCGACAAGAUUGCUAUGAACAGAAUUGUGCCCCCCGCAAAUUCAUAUGUUGAGGUCCUAACCCCCAAUGUUACUACAUACAGAGUUAGUAGCAUCUUUUAAGAGCUCCGUGAGGUCAUAAAGGUAUGGGGUCCUCAUCUAACAGAACUGGUGUCCUUCUAAGAAGAGGAAGAGUUGCCAAGGAUGCCCAUGAACAGAGAAAAAGCCAUGUGAGGACACAGUGAGACAAUGUCAUCUGCAAGUCAAGGACAGGGCCUUGGACUUGGAUGAUUCACUUAAUCUUUCCGAGCCUCAGUUUCCUCAUCUGAAAACGGUGGUUUACAACAUGCACAUAUUGUGAGGAUUACGUGAGAAAAAAUGCAUAAAAAAACACCCGGAAGGAAGGAAGGAAGGAAGGAAGGAAGGAAGGAAGGAAGGAAGGAAGGACUCACAAAAUGUUAAAUAAGGUCUGUUCCUGAUGCACAAGUGCCUCGCUCACCAGGUAUGGGAAGGAUUUAACUGCCUGAGGCUAGCUAGAAAGGGGGUCUGGGGAGACCAUAUGCCUACCUUUUUCCCCACAGCACUUUACAGUCAGAUUUCCCAUGGGGCCUCGCGGCCCUAUAAAAGUAGGGAAAUUGUUAUUUCCAUCUUAGAGAUGAGGAAACUGAGGUUCACUGCUGACUCUAAUAAACGUGGUCUUUCUUGGUUCAAAGCCAUUGUAGU